UGCGGAAGGAUCAUGUCGAAACCUGCAAAGCAGACCCGCGAACUCGUUUCCCACAACACCCGGGGGCGACGGCGUCGGCGGAGCGCGCCAUGGGCCAUGCCCAUGCCCGCCUCCGGCGUCGGGUCCCCCGUUCCGUCGCACGGGUGCUCGCACCCGUCGCACGGCCUAACCAACCCCGGCGCGGAAAGCGUCAAGGAAUAUGAAAACAUCGCCUCCUCGUUGGUGCCCCGUUCGCGGUGCGCACUAUCGGGCAACGGGCGUGUGUCCAAAUCUAAAACGACUCUCGGCAACGGAUAUCUCGGCUCUCGCAUCGAUGAAGAACGCAGCAAAAUGCGAUACUUGGUGUGAAUUGCAGAAUCCCGUGAACCAUCGAGUUUUUGAACGCAAGUUGCGCCCGAAGCCUCCAUGCUAAGGGCACGUCUGCCUGGGCGUCACGCAUCACGUCGCCCUUCGCCACCGCCCCCCGGGGAUCCGUCGGCGUUGGGUUGGAAGUUGGCCUCCCGUGCGCCUCGGCGUGCGGUUGGCCCAAAUGGGAUCCGGCAUUGGCGCGUGCCUCGACAAUUGGUGGUUGAACUACUCAACUUGCGUGUUGUCGAGAGCUCCAACGCGCCACGCUCUCCGGAUGCGUUGGCCCUCACGGUGCACUGCACCCUCGGUUGCGACCCCAGGUCAGGCGGGACUAC
RNAcentral lists this ribosomal RNA (683 nucleotides) under Jasminum fluminense. Its description in RNAcentral is "eukaryotic LSU rRNA". The stretch from base 279 to 434 matches the Rfam family "5.8S ribosomal RNA". Lineage: Eukaryota; Viridiplantae; Streptophyta; Magnoliopsida; Lamiales; Oleaceae. The record is from RNAcentral.